GUGGUGGGGAGAGAGAGAGGCGGGGGAGAUGGGACUGAGGUCUCGCUUGCCCAAGAUUGCGCGUGGUGGUGUGGCAGUUGGCGAACAAUGCAGACUCUCAACAAUGGAUCUCUGGGCUCUUGCAAC
This 126-nucleotide ribosomal RNA is filed under the name Zoothamnium plumula. RNAcentral's name for it is "5.8S ribosomal RNA". The record is from RNAcentral. Lineage: Eukaryota; Ciliophora; Oligohymenophorea; Sessilida; Zoothamnidae.